Molecule: microRNA precursor, 84 nt
Filed under: Loxodonta africana (African savanna elephant)
Lineage: Eukaryota; Metazoa; Chordata; Mammalia; Proboscidea; Elephantidae
Also listed under: 2 other names
Description: mir-221 microRNA precursor family
Rfam family: mir-221 microRNA precursor family
Source: Rfam by way of RNAcentral
UGGGGCGUGAACCUGGCAUACAAUGUAGAUUUCUGUGUUUGUUGGGCAACAGCUACAUUGUCUGCUGGGUUUCAGGCUACCUGG